Molecule: long non-coding RNA, 212 nt
Filed under: Lathyrus oleraceus (garden pea)
Lineage: Eukaryota; Viridiplantae; Streptophyta; Magnoliopsida; Fabales; Fabaceae
Description: Pisum sativum (pea) long non-coding RNA (PSAT_LNC016725)
Source: RNAcentral
AAAUACCAGAAGAAAAUAAUGCAGCAUACAAAUAAUCUCAGCAUAUACCAACGCCACAGUUUUGGAAAAAUCAGUGACCACAAACAGUACAAUAUCAAGGCGAUUGAAAUGCAAACCGUUACCGUAACCGCAAUGUCGAACCAAUGUUGAAGCCCUGGAUAGAAGUUGAGUCGAUGAAAGGGGUGCAAGCGGCAACUUUCAAAACUACAGCU